RNAcentral lists this long non-coding RNA (13679 nucleotides) under Prunus persica (peach). RNAcentral describes it as "long non-coding RNA (PPER_LNC003975)". The record is from RNAcentral. Lineage: Eukaryota; Viridiplantae; Streptophyta; Magnoliopsida; Rosales; Rosaceae.
UGCAAGAAGCAUCAGUUUCCUAGUUUUGUAUGUUCCACUCAGUUAUAGCUUUCAUUGAUUCUGCAGAUAUCAUUAUCUUAUGACGGGAUUUCCCAUUUGGUCUCACUUUAUUCCCAGAAUUCAGUUUCGCACAACAAAUGCACUUUAUUCCCAGAAUUCAGUUUCGCACAACAAAUGCACCUUUUAAGGUACUUGGUACUUUUAUUCUUGCUAGUGGAAUUGGUUUAGCUACUUUUUUAUAUCAAAUUUUGAUAUUUAUCAUAAAAAUUAAUUUAUUAUCUAUAUAUAUAAAGCAAAAGGCAGAGAAUGGUGAAACAUUCAAAAUACCAGAAAAUGCCCUUUGUUAAUUCAAACAUUAAGAAUUGAAAUGAUUAAUUAAAUGAGGAUAAUAUGGUAAAUUCAUAUUUUUUAAUAUUAAAAAAAUUAAAAUUAAAAACAAAAUAAGAUAAUAGGUCCUACUUUUAUGGAACAUAACUACUCUGUUAUUUUUUCUUAAUUCUAAAAAUAAAAAUAAAAAAGAAAAAGAAAACCAAUUGGCACAUGCGUGAGCAUGUGUCAAGGGGCUAGUUAUGAUAAAAUAACAACUUCAUUAGAAAACUUUCGUACAUACAGUUAGAUAUCAACAAGACAUCCAAAUCACCAAGCCCAAGAGGGCAACAAAACUAACAUGCUAAAAAAGCAGACACGCCAACAACUACUAGCCCACACCACUACAAUUAAGUUAAACCUCAGACAAAGCCCACAAACCCUAAAAUAACACAUAAGCCUAAAUGAACCCUACCUCCACCACCUAAAGAAGCGCCGCCGUCCACCACACCACCGCAUCUAACCUUAAGCAGAUACAAAACCUCUUAUGAAUAUUGGGAACAAGGUUUCCAGUGAUCCAACUACGCAUAAUAGUGAACAACAAUGCCAAUCGAAAAAACAUGGCAAAAACCAAUCAGGUAGAUUGCAUCAAACUCCUUCAAAUGCGAGGUAGAAUUGAAUUUAGAGAAGAAGAGAAAUUAGCCCAAAAGAUGUGAUGGGGAAUUUCAAACUGAGCAUGGCUCAAAAGAAAUCACCACAAGGGGCUUCUUAUUCAAAAGGCCAAAGUGAACUUAUUCACUCACCCAAAAGAAAAAUGAAGGAAAAGAUGAUAAGGGAGGAGGGAAAAUGACGCUUCUUCCUCCUCCCUUUCUAUUGAGUUUUUCCUUUGGAACUUAGAGAGUGAGAGCGGCUAGGGUUUCUUUUACUCAUAAAAAUUUGUUUUAAGUGUUCUUUUAGAGUAUAUCAAACUAAAAUUACUCAUUUACACAUAUAAAAUAUUAAUAUAAAGCAUAUAAAAACUAAAUUAUACUUCAUACUAAGUCGGAUCAGAUUAUUAUCGGAUCAAAUAAACUAUAAUCCAUAUCCAUAUUUAUUUAUAAUUGGAUUACCAGAUUCGAGUUGUAAUCGGAUUAUCGGAUUGAGAAGUACAAUUCAUCUCCUAUUAAUUACACCGGAUUUGGAUCGAAUUAGGAUCAAAAUCUGAUCCAUUGGCAGGUCUAAUCACUACACGUUUUCCUCGCAAUUGUAUAGUCUGGCUAACAAGGAACAAAAUAAACCGAAGCUAACAUGUCAAUCUGGUGGAGUUGAAUCAAUCAUGAACACGAGAAAGAAAUAAAAUAGAGUUUAGAAGAUUGCUUAAUAAAAGCGUACGAUCUGUACUGCCUGCUAGCUUCUCUAUAGAGUCUGCAAUAGCAAAAACCGAACGUUAUCAAACAAUGAAGAACUAAUCCUCAUAAGAAUUAUGUGAAAAAUUAAUUGCUGAAGGAGGACAUACCAGUGCUCCGACUCCUUUUAAUCUGAUUGCUGCUACUGAAUGAGCCCGUAUGAUAUUUUCAUGAAAAUAAAAGUUGGGAGUUAAUAACUUCCAAUUAAUAUAAGGGGAACAAACUCAGUUUGCAUUUUGUUUUACCAAAUUGCUUCAAACUCUUCUAAAAUAAACCUAUUGCCACUUUGAAAGACAAAUGCCUUCAAAGACAAAGUAAAAUGCCAUGUUAUCCAACCCUCUGGUUAGGCAUAUAGCAUACUUGAGGACAGAUUAAUCCUCAUUGCCUGCAAACUGUUGUUUGCAUGGCAGAAAAAGACACGAAUUCGAACAUGUAUGAUGAACAAGGUUUAAUAGUUCGUGGCAUACUAACCGUGGCCGAGGUAGCAGUUCUUCAGGAAGAGAAGUUAUGAUCUGCAUCUUUAGAUCAGGAAAGUACCAAAUGUGUUCCUGAGGAUUAUCCUUCUUUUCAAAAUCAUAAUAUUUCUUCAAUUCAAGUGGAUCAACCAACACAAGGUCCGUUGGUCUUGGAUGAACAGCAGGAUUGGGUUCUUUUGACUCUUUAUCCACUUUCAUCCUCCAGCGUCGUGUAAUGAAUACCUCUUGGAGGUUUGGGAAGCAGGUUGAGUAAAUCUUUUUUUGACCAGAGGUAUACUGACAAGAAUCCAUUCCAAUCCUGAAUAAGUAGCCCAAAUUUUCACAGUCUGAGAUAUGGAUGACCUUUAAUUUAUUCAAACAAGGUGCGAAUGGCAAAGGGUCUUCUUUUGAUAUCAAGGCCUCCAUCUUCUGACAAUUUUUAACCGAAAUUUUUUCGAGGUUUGGAAGGUUGUGUGACACGUUCCUCUCGAAUAAAUAGACCAAACUUUCGCAGCCAGAUAUAUCUAUGACCUUCAGGCUGUCUAGACAACGUCGACCACUAAUAGGCAACCAAUAUAGAUCCUUGUUGCUCAUUACAUGCAGCUCAGAGGUGUCUUCUGGGAGUGACACUGGUUUUCCACUCACAAGAAAGUCACUUUUGAUGAAAACUAUGCUGUUUUCAGGUAACUUUGUUUUAUCCCAAGAACCACCCACGGAGAAUUUGAAUUUGGAUAGAGAAUGAUCCUUCGAAUCCACAUAUGUGUUGAAGGCUUUUGCAUCUAGGAAGUUGAUAUGAAGAAUAGCUAAAUGCUGAAGGGCUCCCAGCUCCUGAAUACAACUAGCUGCUUUCUCUGAUCCCCACAAACUACUUGCUCCUUUCUCUGAUCCCCACAGAGAACCUGCAGAGUCAUUGGUUAUCAAGAAGAGUUCUUCCAGAUUUUUUAACUCACGCACUAAUUCAGCUUGAAAUUCUCCCACAUUGGUACAGGACAGGUCGAGGCGAAUAAGCUUGGUUAGUUUCUUCAUGCCAUCAGGUAAUUCUGUUAUGGGAGUAUCAGAAAGGUCCAGAACAAGUAGUUCCUCAGAGUUUGCUAAAGAAGGCAGAGAUGUUAAGUUGCAACAACCGCGCAAGAGGAGUGCCCUUAGUUUUGUCAAGUAAGAAGAGGCUGACUUUGGAAGGGUAGAGAUAUUGGUAUGAGAAAGGUUAAGAACUUUGAGGUUAGGCAUAUUACGGAAGAAAUCGUCAUCAAAGUGAGAGAUGGGGUUGUGCUGCAGAAGUAACGUGGAUAGCUUGUAAAACUUGGGUUUUUUUGUAAGUGCUUUAAACUGACUUUUCAUCAAUGAGGCUCUCUCUACUUUAGACAAGUUCCUCCCUAUCAGCGGGCAGUCGGUAAGCUUCACCCCGGCUUCGAUGAGAAACUGAUCAUAAUCGGGGAUUGUUUUGGUCAGAUGGAUUGCCAUAUGCCUAACUAAGUUGCGCAUCUUGAUGCAUUCUUUUCCACCUUCACUAACUGCUUCCAGAAGGUAAGCUCCUUUGAUCUCAUCCAGUAUCUCUCUUGCAUAUGUCGUAUCUUCUAUCAGCUGCCCCUUAAUUCUUUCUCUGCUACUCAGUAAACCUUCCCAAAACCAGUGCUCCACUAACUCUUUCUUUUCAAUGCAAUGACCAGGUGGGUAUAAUGCACAGUACAGGAAGCACUGCUGAGCUUCUUGCUUCAACAUAGAGUAGCUAUUUAACAGGCGGGCAAAUGCCUUCCUAUUCUUUUUUUCCAAGAGAACACUAGAAUUUCUCAACUUAUAAAAUGCUCCAUUCCAUUCUGCAUCGACAUCGACAUCGACAUCGCUAGGAUCCAAUUUCAUUAUUUCUUUCAAGGUUUGAGCCAGACCAGCAAUCGCCACGGGCAGACCAUCACACUCACGUACCAUGUUUACCGCGGCCGCUCGAGUAUCUUCCCUUAGUGCAGAAAAUCCAAUGCCAGCUUCAACCUCGAACAACUUGAGUGCUUCUUCGUCUGAUACAAGUUCGAUUUCGACCUCUCUAUCAAAUGUGAUGCCCCUGCACACUGGACGUGAUUUUGAAACGAUUAUAACCUUGGAGCCAUUGUUUGUUUGCCAUGGAAUCCCAAUAUGCUCGAGAGACAACUCCUUCCGCAUAUCAUCCAAAACGAUCAGAAAUCUUCUCUGCCUCAACGCACUGUCCAACUUGUCUGCUCUGUUCCCAGCACUGUGGUCGUCAAGUUGUAAUUCCUUUUGGAUGCCCUUCUGCAGGGCAGCAAUGGCUGCCUCAGGUGGUCCAACAUUCUCUACAGUCACCCAAAUAACUUUCUCAAAUUGGGCUGUGAUAUUUCCAUCUCUGCCAUCUUCUGAGGUACAACUUUUGUACUGUUUCAAUAUUUGGUUAUUGACUUCCUUUAAAACUUCAGUCUUUCCCGAACCAGACAUCCCAUAAACACAUAUGAUUCCAACCUCCUUUUCUGAAACGCACUUCAUAAUUUUCUCAAAAGCACUUGCUGUCUUGCCCACCAGUUCUUUUGUGUUCUUCUGUAUAUAUCCCACCACAAAGUCUUCUUCCACAUUAAACAAAUAUGUGCCCUCCUCUUUCAGUAAAUUUACCUUUUCAAUUCUGCCGAGGAUGGAUUUCCCAGCUUUAUACUGUGAACGAUAAUAGUUUGGGAAACCACACCAAUUCCCACUUAUUGUGUCCUCAAAAUUCAACUCAUUAGUUUCAGUUAUGAAGUCAUUUGACCUUUCUAACCAGUCGGAGAUUUUGUAAGGCUUGCUCACCACCUUCUCCUCAGAUUCGCUCUCUACUUCACAUCUUCGGCUUUUCAAAAGGGCCAUGCCUUUUUUUAAAGUCUCUAGAUAUUCUUUGCGUUUUGCAAAAUAUUUAUAUUUCUCUUCAAGGGGAGUGCCUAAACAGGUUGAAUUCUGCAGACAACCAAUGAGAGAGGCAACAAGCUCCACAAACUCUGCUACGGGCAAAAAAUGGGAGACAAAUGAAAGAAAAAAAUUAAAGAGAGGAUUAGAUGAUGAGAGCUAGUAUCAUGCAUGGUAUAAGUUAACAUGUAUAUUGUAAUAUUGCAAGAGAGAAUUAUAUGAUCAUUUUCAUUUUGCUCCUGCAUAAAAAAAUUGUUGAGAUAGAAACCAACUUUUGUUUAUUUUCUUUUUCUCUUUCAUUAUUUUUCUCAGUGUUGCCUCAGUAGAAGAGAAGACUUCGGGAAAAAAAAAAAUCCAUAUUUACUGUUGAGAACAAAAAUGUAAUCAAUAUAUACCUGCCAUUGCUAUUAUUCGUUUUGAUCAGUCACUCUUUCACAUGUAAAUUCCAAUUUCAGGUUCCCGUCUCCUGUAGUUUAGAGACCAGUGAGAUCCUUAUACAGAAAUAAUAAUAAUAAUAAUAGUCAAGUAUAUUUUAAAAAGCACAGACCGAAACAAACAAAAUUAUCAAGGCAAUAGUAAAGCAUGAAAAAAAGAAAACAGAAGAAACUACAAUUUUUACUUCGGACCUCAACCCCCGCUAUGUUGAUAGUAUCAUGCAUAAAAGAUGUUGGGAUUCUCCACCACAUGAGUUGUUUGGACAUCUCUUGGGUCUUUCACCAACAUUAAUUGUUUCUGCGCAUUAGAGAUUUGGAGGUUUAACAAUAUUGCAUAGUCUAGGCUACGUUUGGUACAUUCUAUAACUAAAACAUGUUUUUUCAUUCAUUAAUCUUUAUGUUGUCAAACUAAGUGGGGAAAAUAUUCAUAUAUGUAUUCUUUUUUAAUAUGGGGGUAUUUAUAAGGAAGUACAACCCUAUAUAAAAUAGGAAAUCAUUCUGAAUUAUAGGACUAGACAAAUAGGUAAGUAACCAAAAAUCCUAACAUAGUAAGGAACUAUAAUCCUAACCACGUAAGGACUCAUCACCACUCUCCCUCAAGUUGGCGCAAAGAUGUUCUCAUGCCCAACUUGACAAGUUAGUCAUAGACCCAUACUCGACAUCGUAAAUCAUGAGUGAAAGCAACUGACAAACCAAAUCAAAGUUCGCAGCAAACCAUAACAAACAGCGCACAUAGCAUAACACAUAAAUCUUAUGAGCAGAGCAGUAGAUAAGGUAGAACACAAAAACCCUAUAAGCAUUAUAGUAGGUAAGGCAGAAUGCGAAAACCCUAUGAGCACAGCAAUAGGUAAGUAUGAAACAUAUUUAACAAACUAGGUUUCAUAGUGCGUACCAUCCAACUUUUCAUAGUAGCAUAAUCAAUUUUCCACUUUCCAAAUUGUGGAUCUUUGGAAUUUGGGGCAUAAGAGUCACCAAUUAGGUAACCUAAUUUUCCUUGUGAAGUAGCAUAGAGUUCGAUCAUUGAAGCUCAAAUCACAUGGUUGGAUCCAUUCAAUUUGAAUCCUAAGGGUAGGUUGGUGGACGAUUCAGUGUGAACCAUCACAAUAGAGGUAGGAGAAGCAGUAGGUGAAGUAAAACCAGAAGCAUGUGAAGAAAUAAAGGCAUCAACAUUCGGCAUAGUGAUGAAUGGCGGGAUGACGCCAAUGUCGGUAGUAGUAAGGUAGACGGCGGCAACAAGAAAUAGGUAGUGUUUAAGGUUAGAGUUGUUUAUGUUGUAGAGACGGAUCGAAACACAGUAACAACAUCGACAAUGACAAAAGGGAAUUCCUCCUAAGUCAUCGGAAACUUCUCUUCAUUUUCCCUCUCCCAUUGAAGAAAAGGGGUCGUCAGACCCAAGAAAUAGGCAUUAUCUUCAUGGGAAAUAUAAACAUAUCAUUUUCACUCCCCCUUCCCCCCUCCCCCCCUCUCCCUCUACAGAGAAGACCACGUAAAUUGCAAGAAGAAUGCAAGCACAAGUCACAAGAGAACCUGAGCUAUGAUACCAUGUCAAACAAAGUAGGGCAAACAUUCAGAUAUGUAUUCUUCUCCAAUAUGGACGUAUUAAGGAAGUACAAUCCUAAGUAAAAUAAGAAAUAAAUCUAAAUUACAAUAGAAAAUAAAUGUGAAUUACAAUAAGAAAUAAAUCUCAAUUAUAAUAAGACUAGACAAAUAGGUAAGUAACCAAAAAUCCUAACUAAGUAGAACUGGUCAAUAUGUCACAUAAAAUUUUGUCAUGGUCCAUUUGGAUCUAUUACAAUCUAUAUAUGCAAAGAUUAGAUUUCAAUUAACUUCUCGCAUAAACUUGUUUCAAAUUCAUUUUAUAGAUGUACCUUUUUUUUUGGGUCAGAAUUUUAUAGAUGUACUAAGUCUAGUUAUUUUGGAUACCAAUAGAAAAUCUGAAAGUGAAUCUCAUAUAUUGUUUCAUUAAUUGCAGUACAGAAAAACUUGAUUUACCACCUACCCAAUACCCACUUGUUGAAGUUGGCUCGCCUAAAGAUGCGAAGGAAUGAAAGAAUCAUGUCAGUAAGGUGUUGUAGGAACUUUACAGACCGACUGCUGCUCGAGCGGCAGAACGUAGGCUCGAGCAGACCCAUGCGCUCAAGUGGAUGCAAGGCGCACUCGAGCGGCAGCCGUGUGACUUGUGCAGGUCCAUCUUGUUUUAUUAUGGAUUUUCUAUUUUAAUAGGGUAUUUUAGGUUUCCUAUUCCUUGUAUGCUUGUAAUUAAAAGCCUAUGAGUAUAAAUAGGCCUUUUAGGAGUUAGGGUUUGUGAGAGGGUUCACAAUGGCAUCAAAAAUGGGUUUAAGCAUUGUGUGUGAGAAAUUAAGAUCUAGGGUUCUUAAGAGUGAAAUGAGGUUUCUUGUAAACCAAAGGUAUUCUUAUUACUAGUGAAAUUUUUUGAGGCAAUCACCAAAAAAGAUGUAGGCACAACACCGAACUUCUAUAAAUUCUUGAGUUUGUUUGCUUUCGUUUUGAGUGUGUGCAUUUUUUUCUUCUUUGUGGUUUGUGUGUGUGCUCGAAGUAUAGUCCAUCGAUAACAAGGUCUUGAAGUGUUUAACACAUAACAAGUGGUAUCAAAGCUAUGGUUAGCAAUGGGUGUUAGUUUAUGCCCAAGUGCUCUUACAAUUAGAAGAGCAUUUGUGUGUUGGAGAUGGCAAACAACAAGAAGGUUGAAGAUAUAAAGCCGAAGCAACCACAUACGGCUAGCAUGAAGAUUGAGUUGAAGUUGUUCACCAGCAAGGAGAACUUCACGUUUUGGCAAAGACAGAUGAAGCAUGUCAUAACACAGUAGAAUCUCAAUGUUGUCUUGGCAGGCAAGGAAAAUAAGUUGGAAACCAUGACAUAGCACAGUAGAAUCUCAACGACAGACGAGGAGUGGAACUCGCUUGACAAGUUAGCUAGGGGCCAUUGAGAACUACAUCGCAAAUGAGGUGUUGUUCAACGCGAUGGAAGGCAUCGCGAAACAGAUAUGGGAAAAGCUCGAACAUAUGUUUGUAGGGAAGUCACUGUCAAACAAACUCUUCUUGAACGAAGAGCUCCUAAAUCUUCAUAUUAAGGAGGCAGGAAACAUGAUGAAGCAUUUUAGCACCUUUAAUAGGUGUAUUGCAUACUUAAAGAGAAUGGAUGUGGUAUAUAUCACAAAGGAUAAGGCAAUGAUGUUGUUUACAUCAUUGCCUCAAUCCUAUAAGAACUUCCUAAUGACACUAAUGUUUUGCAAAAGUACUCUGAAUUUUGAGCAACUGGUUCAAGACAUUUUGAUGCACCACUGAUAGCUCAACAUUCUGGAGAGAGCUAUCAAGAUGAAGGUCUUAUGGCAAAGACUGGAGAGAGGGGCUUUUCAAUUAAGCGCGCGAGGGCAAAAAAAGCAAUCAAGAAUGUCAAAAUUUAGGGCAAAAGACAAUUAUUUUGAUUGUGGGCUAAAAGAUCAUUGGAAGAAAAAUUGUCCUACAUGGUAAGAGAAAAGAAACAAAGGGAAGAAGGCAGCUGAGUGGGGUCACUACAGAUAAUGUCCUACAUGAUAAGAGAAGAGGAAUAAAGGAAAGUAAGGGUGAGCAUUAUAAUGUUCAUUAGCCAUGCAGAGGGGAGGAGGAGGAGGGGGGGAAGAGGGGGGGCGCCCUCCCGUCCACGUUUGAAAAUAAGUAAUUAAAAAUAAUAUAGUAUGAUUUGCCAGAUAUAGAAAACAAUGAAAGAGUAUACACAACACAAAUCGUAUCCAUUUAUAGUAGAUCCAAACCAAUUGGCACGCUCAAGCACUUUCACAAACAUUUUUCCGAAGCUCUUGUAUCUGCCUAUCUGACUACCAAUCCAUAUGGGCCAACUACCCACCUACCAUAUUCUUAAUUAUAUCCGACUCAUCUGAAAUGGUAGCAAGAUUGUUCAUUUACUUGCUCUACCUCGUACAUCUAGACUGACAGCCACAUGGAAUUCAGCACUAGUCGGUCCCUAUAACCCCUUGAGAAGUUUAGGAGAUUGAAACCUAGGCAAUACGCUAUGCCCCUUUCACCCUUAGGUCAUCAAGGUUACUGCCCGUAGGCAAGAAUCCUCCAAACUUUAGAAAUCCAAAGCCAAGCAUCCAUAAAAUCAAGCAUAUAUGGCAAUCAUAAACAGUGCAACUUUUCCACACAAUAGUAUAUACUUUGUCAUACAUACAAAAAAAAAAAAAAUACAAGUCUGAGAGUAAGUCCCUUUACCUGGAAUCCAAAGUUUAAGCUUGACUUGCCUUUUGCGCCUUUGAGCUCAAACUGGGAAACUGAUUCCUAGUCCAACAUUCAAACAUAUUACUAAAAAUCUUUAUUUGCAAUAUAGUCCUUAUAACUAUCUUUAAUUUCACUUGAGCUGCAAAAAACUCACAUUUCAUGGAUGAACACAGAAAUGUCAUAGCCGGUUUGAGGUAGCUAGACCGGUCUGAUGAUGCUCAUUUUGAUAUGUGAUAGACACUCGAGCAUAUGAACAACUUUGAUGAAGGAAGUUUUCUGAUUUGAGCUUUCGAAAUUGGACUUCUAGAGUGAUGAAUAGUACCCACGAAUUUGGGUUUUCUGAAGAAGGAAGAAGACGAAUAGGGAAGGUCCCGUGUGUGAACAGUAUAAUAUAAUAUUACCCACCAAAAUUAAAGCAGCCAUGAAAACUAUAGCCACUUAUCAAAUAAUCUAAAAUAAAAAUAAUUUGCUAAGAGUUAAAGGAGAAAAAGAAGAACCUCUACGCCCUUCAAACGACGCUCCCAAACAAUACAUAGGCUACCUCUUUCACUUUUUAUGCAAUCGAAAUGUGCCAAACAUAUCUCAAUCUAAAACUCUUGGAUAAGAAUAAGGAAAAUAUGAUUGAACAGAUCCAUCGACUUUCAGGUUCCUAAGUUCAACUGAAGAGAGUUUGCCAUGCCUUGCUUUCCCCAACAAAUUGUAAGUAAGACCAUAUUGACAGUUGGUCGAAAUUUUAGACAAAGAUGUCGGCCGCGGCGAUGGAUAAACAAAAAAUAAUGAUGACGAUUGAACAUAAAUUUGUAAAUUUAUUUGGCUUUCCACGUGAUGGGUUUCGUAGAAUGAUGCUGCAGAGAUUCCCACCAAUGCUGUCAGUCAACCCUGCAUGUGAACAUCGGAUCCGUAAGGAGAUACUGUCUAAACCUGCACUGCACCAUCUUCGACUUCGUAUAAAUUUGAAGAGAAAAUUAAUGGUCUUCAUUUCAUGUGUAAAUUUGUUUUCUACUCCAGGCGUGAAUCUUUGUAUCUUAGUUGUAGACUUGCAAAGGUUUUUACAUUUUGAUGUAAUUCGGAAAUUCUUGUGUGCCAAGUAUAGUCUUUAAAUAUUAAUUAUCACCUUCUUCUCUCUAUUUCUUUGAAAAUAAACGAUCACGACCUUGCCUGUUCGUCCUAUCACUAUAUCAUUAAUUGUUAUAAAUAUAAAAUAGGUGUGAGCUGUGGUUGUGGAGUAGUUGUGUGUGCAGUCACAAUUAAUAAUCAUCUGAAUAAUGCACAUGUAUUAUUUUUGAGUUUUUCUAUUUAAACCCCACAUUUCUCUUUGUUUACCUCAAUUUCUAAUUCAAAAUUUCAAAAUUUCUAAGAAAACCCCGCUAGUCUGUCUCUCUGAAUUUAUCUUUCUAUCCACUAUUAUCCCUAAAACACCCUUUAAUUAUUAAAGUAAAAUAAUAAUAAAAUAAUAUUUUUAAACAUAGAAAACAAAAGCAAAAGCGUUCUCUCCUUCUCUCUCCCCCUUUCCCGACGCAGCCCCACCCCCUCAGCAACCCUAGCCACCAGCCCCUCCCCAACCUCUUCACCCUCCUCCACCAUGGCUUGAGAAAAAUCCUAAAAAAACUUGGUUAUUUGUGCAUGCUUACCGAAAAGAAUAAGGCUAAACAGCUUCCAAUAGCACUGAUAAAGAAUCAUACUCACCUCAGCAGGAGUUAUCUUUACACUUACUCUGAAUGCUUUCAAGUUACCUUUUAUCAUUUAGGAAAGAAAUAAAUAAAUAGUUUUCAGGAAUCACAAUGUUCCUAAUGUUCUUCCUCCACCAUGGCUUCUUCAACCUCUGCGAAACUGGGGUUGAGGACUGGGUCGAUGUCAGAGGCCUUGCUGAAAUUGAAGAUGCGGUUGCUGAACUCCAAAACUUGUUAUCAACCCUUCUGAUGAUCCAGCAAAUCAAACAAAGUUAAAAAAUGGAUUAACAUCAAAAGACUCUUUAAAGGUUUAGGGUCAUUCUCAAUAUGGGUCUUCCGAUACAUCAAGUUUAUAAAUUUGAAAAAAGUAAAUGAUAGUAGAGUUUAUGACUGAAAAAAUAUGAAAAUGACAUCAAGCUUUUUGAUAUGUUGUUUUUGACAUAUCUCUUUCGGCCUUUAAAUUCAUAUAGGAUUUGAAUACUCAAUUGGAGCAAUUUUAACCUUCAAUUUUUGUCAUUUCAUGUCAAUGUGGCAAUUUAACAUAUCGAUCGAAGAUGCUAAAAUCAAAAUUGGUUUAAUGAUCAAAUUUCAAUUAAAGCAUGAUAUUACAAAGAGUUAAAACAAAUAAAAGACAUCAUGAAAGAGAGGCAUAAAUAAUGUUCUCUCAAGUCAUAUUCACGUCAAAUUUGAAGGAUCUUUUAAAUGAUAAAAUUUUCGACGUCAUCUGCACAUAUAGUGAUGCGGGUAUUAUUGAUGUACUUUAAUUAUUUUUGAGGCUCCGCCUUCGUAUAUUUAAUUGUUUUUCCUAUUGAAGCUCAUUCUCUUUGCAAUUUUGAAAGACUCCCAAAUUUCAAUCCCCAUUUCCCUUUGAUUAAAAAACAAAAAAGAAUAUUGCAAAAGGAUGACCCACAAUGACGAUGGUAAUGCAGGGCCCAAAUUCUUGCCCAACGGACAAAACUAUGGUCCCAGAGAAGAGCCAAAAACUUCAACGUUGCUCAAAUCAACGGUCUAGUCACGGAUGAUAACGAAAACUGAAAAGCACGCCUGCACAACUGGCCGUCUGCCGCGAUCAAACUCUCCAUUCUUCACCGCUUGCACACAAUGUGCUUCCAAAAAACUUGAAAAUGAAGUUCUGCUCUCUGCGUCACCUCCUUGUACUCUUAUCCACUGACAGCAACACCUUUGUUUUUUUCUUCUUAUAGCUAGUCUAGUGCCCUCAGCUUUCCCUCCAAAACCAAGCUUUGGAUAUCUCGUCUGGAUAAUCAUUCAGGUACAAUUCUUUUCCAUUUAAAACUCCAUGUAUGUAUACAUAUACUUUGCACUUUCAAUGCCAACAAACCAAUGCCCACAGUAGCCCACAUGUUAAUAUAUUAUGGGAAGUACUAAUACCAACAUGGGUUGUGGAAUGUUGAGUCUUUUGGAUUUUUCUUGGAAAUUUUGCUUGGUUAUGCUCCCUUGCUGUUUCCUGCAUUCUGGGUUUAGUGAGUUUAGUUAAAUUGAAUGAUGGGGACCAAGAGUUUGGUGGCAUUUGUUCUUUUUGCUCUCCUAGUUUUUGAGGGUUAUUUCACUGAAAAAGUGCUUUCUGCUACUGUGACAUAUGACAACAGAGCACUGGUUAUUGAUGGGAAGCGGCGGAUUUUGCAGUCGGGCUCUAUCCAUUAUCCUCGAAGCACUCCAGAGGUGAGUUCUAGAAUCUGUUACUUAUGUGAUCGUAAUAUAUUUCAGAAAUUUUGAAAAGGCUAUCAGAGGAUGCAUUAUAAUGACAAUGUGGGAUUGUGCUUGUUGGGGUACAAUGCAGGUGUGGCCGGAAAUUAUUAAGAAAUCCAAGGAAGGGGGACUGGACGUGAUAGAGACUUAUGUUUUCUGGAACUAUCAUGAGCCUGUAAAAGGCCAGGUAUGAAUAACUCUGGCCUUUGAUGUAACUUCAUUCUAAUAUGAGCAAACCACUAGCCUCUCAGCUAGCUAGUUAGGUCCUUUAGGAAUAUUGGCAUCUAUUUUCCCCUGAAUUUGUCAUUAAUUUGAUGUUUUCUUUCAUUUCUUAUAGUACUACUUUGAAGGCAGGUUCGAUUUGGUGAGGUUUGUGAAGACAGUGCAAGAAGCUGGCCUUCUAGUCCAUUUGAGGAUUGGCCCGUAUGCUUGUGCUGAAUGGAAUUAUGGGUUUGUUUCUGUUUCAUGCUCUCUUGUGGUGUACAUUGCACUAGCAUCAGUUUCCUAGUUUUAUAUGUUCCACUCUGUUAUAGCUUUUACUGAUUCUGCAGAUAUCAUUAUCUUAUGACAGGGGAUUUCCUAUUUGGUUACACUUUAUUCCCGGAAUUCAGUUUCG